This 105-nucleotide ribosomal RNA is filed under the name Heliconius melpomene (postman butterfly). Lineage: Eukaryota; Metazoa; Arthropoda; Insecta; Lepidoptera; Nymphalidae. The record is from RNAcentral.
GCCAACGUCCAUACCACGUUGAACACACCGGUUCUCGUUAAACAACGUCGGGCGCGGUCAGUACUUGGAUGGGUGACCGCCUGGGAACACCACGUGCCGUUGGCU